UGGGGAAUAUUGCACAAUGGGCGCAAGCCUGAUGCAGCCAUGCCGCGUGUAUGAAGAAGGCCUUCGGGUUGUAAAGUACUUUCAGUCGGGAGGAAGGUGGUAAGGUUAAUAACCUUAUCAAUUGACGUUACCGACAGAAGAAGCACCGGCUAACUCCGUGCCAGCAGCCGCGGUAAUACGGAGGGUGCAAGCAUUAAUCGGAAUUACUGGGCGUAAAGCGCACGCAGGCGGUUGAUUGAGUCAGAUGUGAAAUCCCCGGGCUUAACCCGGGAAUUGCAUCUGAUACUGGUCAGCUAGAGUCUUGUAGAGGGGGGUAGAAUUCCAUGUGUAGCGGUGAAAUGCGUAGAGAUGUGGAGGAAUACCGGUGGCGAAGGCGGCCCCCUGGACAAAGACUGACGCUCAGGUGCGAAAGCGUGGGGAGCAAACAGG
This 429-nucleotide ribosomal RNA is filed under the name Chloroflexota bacterium. RNAcentral's name for it is "Chloroflexi bacterium partial 16S ribosomal RNA". It matches the Rfam family "Bacterial small subunit ribosomal RNA", at positions 355 to 776 of the family's 1533-position model. The record is from RNAcentral. Lineage: Bacteria; Bacillati; Chloroflexota.